AUCGCUUCUCUCUACCUCUUGGCUAAGAUCAUGUGUAGUAUCUCUUCUUAUCAGUUUAACAUCUGAUAUGUCCUUGAAAAAGAGAGAGAGAGAGAGACCUGGGGUGAGGGAUGUGGCCAGACCACUAUGACUCCACGGCCUACACAGCCAGGCUCUCUCACCUGUG
This 166-nucleotide small nuclear RNA is filed under the name Microcebus murinus (gray mouse lemur). RNAcentral's name for it is "U2 spliceosomal RNA (ENSMICG00000028848.2)". The stretch from base 1 to 127 matches the Rfam family "U2 spliceosomal RNA". Rfam says of the family: U2 is a small nuclear RNA (snRNA) component of the spliceosome (involved in pre-mRNA splicing). Complementary binding between U2 snRNA (in an area lying towards the 5' end but 3' to hairpin I) and the branchpoint sequence (BPS) of the intron results the bulging out of an unpaired adenosine, on the BPS, which initiates a nucleophilic attack at the intronic 5' splice site, thus starting the first of two transesterification reactions that mediate splicing. Lineage: Eukaryota; Metazoa; Chordata; Mammalia; Primates; Cheirogaleidae. The record is from RNAcentral.